This is a long non-coding RNA of Rhineura floridana, 1770 nucleotides long. RefSeq lists it as uncharacterized. Lineage: Eukaryota; Metazoa; Chordata; Lepidosauria; Squamata; Rhineuridae. The record is from RefSeq and is a predicted model, not a curated record. The transcript is spliced from 6 exons.
CCCUUCAACUGUUACUGCCGUGUCCAUGGAAACCAAACGACGAGGAGAAAGCAGCGCGCGGCCAUCUUCUUUACCUUCCCUCUUCCACGGCGUCCAGAACUCGCAAAAUCCCCCUCACCUGAAUCACCACCGCACAGGAACAGCCCCGCGCUCAAGCUCUUCGCUCUCCUCCAGCGUCGCCGCAGCCAGAGCUGAAAGCGGAGUGCUGCGGUAUCAUUUCACGCGGCACAGGAAGUGUUCUCCUCCCAACCAAUCGCGCAGCACCCUGAAUGCUCGUCACUCCCCUGUCACUCGGCGACACUAGCCCCGCCCCUAUGGUGGGCAGUAAGACGGAAAGGGGCCCGAACAGUUUUUAAAGGGCCAGAGUACUCCUAAGGCACGCUUUGCUGGGGAGAGAAUGCAGAUAAGGUUUGACGUUUUGCCCCGGCGAGCUACCACGGCGAAGGGUGGCAAGCUUCCCAAGGGGAGGAGCCAUUCGCAGAACGGGCAGAUCGCCGAAGAACAGGAGCGUGCCUGUUUGUUGCCUGCUACAACUGGCAAUUCUUUCCUGAAAGGGAAGGAACCCUCAGAAAAAAAAUUUUUUUGAAGUUGAAAAGUCGUGCAGGCGGGAAGAUGUGCCGGCGGGAUAUGCAAAAAUAAUGACAUGGAGGCCAGGGUGGCGGGUACAUCUGUCCAGGAAGAUGGUGAUCAACCAACUCUGGAGGAUAUUAUACAUUCUGUCUUGAAAGAUAAGGAGCGCUAUUAGUCUUUCUUCUUUGAGGCUCAGAAAGCCGAGGUGGGUGGGUUAUGAAUUAAUCCAAAUAAGAAGGGGAGAUCCCACCAUUAAUUGGCUACCUCUUGAACUUGAAGCCAAUCCACUUUACUAUAGGGCUCUCUCAUUUUUAAAAACUCAGUCCACAACGAAUGUGAAACAUUGAUAACCCUUUUUAUAAAGCAACGCUAACAGUUUGGAAAAGAUGGGCUCGUCAGCGCCCCAUGAUUCUCCAGUGCUUCCUUUUCUGAAUCAGACAGACUAUCAGGAGGUUGGUGAACAACUGGCAUGGAAACCCACACACCUGAGAAACCACUACUAAAAAUGGACCCAUACAGUAGACACCAGCAUCAGAGAACAAAGAAAAAAGAUGAGUCUCUGACCUUCACAGAGGAUUCGGGGAUGAUGCAACUGGCUGAUUACACUCACCAAAAGAUACAUAUCACAAACACUUUACCACUUGUAUAAGCCAACCAUCAAAAUGUGAAAAUGUGAAAAAGGUGGCAAUGGGGAAGAAAUGUUCCUUCAACCAGCUCUUAUUAUCGAAAAUACUGACUCCUGAAGUCAUCUCCAAGCCAUUAGGCUGCCCUGACUCGGUUUAAUAAUAUCCAGCAUCCUCUUGUGGAAAACAUCAGAAAGGAUGACAUUGGCAGCUAAUGAAGAUGGUACCAACUGUUUGCUGUGCUGAGAAGCCUGCUAAGGAAGAAAUUCGGGAGAAGACAAGGAAGGAGAAAGGUGAGACAGUAAAGGUACAAGGAAGUAAGAAAAAACACCUGAGAGGAGCAAGUGGGUACUGCUCCAGGAAAGGGAGGAAAUGCAACCAAGGUUCAGUACAGGGAAAGUCUUCAAGCAAAAUAAAAAAAUGCUGAUCUCGCAUCCUGCUGAGCAAAGUAAGAAGAAACAUAUAGUCCCUUUUCUAAGGGAUGACAAAAAGAGCUGUGCAGUUGAAGCCUAUUUCAAUAAAUAACUUUUUCUAAUUUGACUUACUAUUUUGGAGCCAGCACAAACCAAUGUAGGGC